Molecule: long non-coding RNA, 276 nt
Filed under: Monodelphis domestica (gray short-tailed opossum)
Lineage: Eukaryota; Metazoa; Chordata; Mammalia; Didelphimorphia; Didelphidae
Description: lncRNA (ENSMODG00000045933.1)
Source: RNAcentral
CCACUCCCAUUUUCUAUAAGGGUCCUGGAUGCAGAGUGUUGAAACUUGAAGGCUUUUGGCUCCAUUCUAGAGCUUGUCCUGUAAAAAUAGCACCACAGCUGAAAUCAUUCCCAAAAUAAACUUGGGAGCCAUGCUGCAAGCUCAGCAGUCACUGUCUGUGCGAAGUGGGCACCGCGCUUCACUCAGGAUCCAUGGCUGCCGAGGGCACCUGCCAAGCUCAGUUGCAAAGCAUAGGGCCCUGUUUGGGCCUUUAAGAAGAAAACAGUGGACCUGACG